Molecule: long non-coding RNA, 1918 nt
Organism: Sapajus apella (tufted capuchin)
Lineage: Eukaryota; Metazoa; Chordata; Mammalia; Primates; Cebidae
Exons: 3
Source: RefSeq, a predicted model, not a curated record
UGGGUCUGGGAUUCAGUUUUGAAAUAAACAUGCAGUCUAAGUGACUCCCCUGUCCAUGUGAAAGUGGCCUGGUCUAGAUCAAGCAGUUGGGCCCCAUAUUGUGACAUGCAUGCUUGCAAAAAUUCUAUGGUGACCUGUUGCUGAGGUGAUCUGAUGAUGUAGGUCUUGCCUUUGAUUUCAGGUGCUAUUCUGGCAACCAAAGGUUGGCAGGUAAAAGCAGCUUGGAAAUUUUCUCUGGCUCGCAAGAUGGGGAAUGUUUCUAACUGUUGUCUCAGAGCAUGUUGCAUCGAGGAACAGGGAGUGGAUCCCGGGUUCACUGGAGAAUCCACUGUCUGCUGCUGCAGCCCUAAGAAGGGAAUCCUUUGUUACAGGCCUCCCAUCCGUUUACGCCCUAGAGUUACAUCAAUGGAAGUGAGUUCCAUCCACUAUGGGAGAGUGGAUCCAGGGAUCAGUGAAGAAUCCACUGUCUGUCACUGCAAGCGUAAGAAGGGAAUUUCCCGUCGCUGGCUUCCCAGGUGUAUACACCCUAGAGUUGCACCAAUGGAAGGUAUAAUGGAAAUUCAGUCAUUCAGUUCAUUCAUGAUACUAUUUCUAGAUUCUUCAGUGUCUCUAAUUUCAGACAAUUAUAAAAUUGCUACACUAUAUUCUUUAUUUUAUGUGUGCAGAUUUAAAUGUAUUAAGUCAAUAGCUAUUGCUACAACUACCAGAGUAAAGGUGUAUUUUUUUUUAUUCCUGAUUUGGGUUUACUUUUAAUGAUAAAGAACACCUGAGUUCAACUUGUAGACAUUUUGCUGAUUGUUAAACAUUAAGUAAAAAGAAUGUUUUUCUGAGAUAAUGUUGCCAGGUUUGUAAAGUAAUGGACAUCACUUCAAACUGUUUUGAAUUAACCUAAAAAUGGAGGAAGUGGUACAGAAAAUUUCCAUAUACUCACCUUCAUAGGUUCCUUUUUGUGAUGACAUCUUACAUGAGUGUGAUAACACUUGUGACAAUGACUGUGCCAAUAGUGAUACAUUCUUAUUAGUAAUAGUCUAGGGUUAGCAUCAAGGUUCAUUCUGUGUUGUCUGGUCUAUGGGUUCUGACAAACUCACAAUGUCCUUUGUUACCCUAGCAGAAUAAUUUCACAUCCUAAGCAUAACCUGUGCUGCACCUAUUAAUUCCUGUCUUUUUUCCUGAUGAUUCCUGAAAACCAUGGAUGAUUUUACUGCCUGCAUAGGUUUCCUUUUCCAGAAUUUUAUAGAGGUAGAAUCAUAAGCGUAUGUACCUCCUCAUGACUAACUUACUUUACUUAGCAAUAUACAUGUAAGAUCUUGUAUAUCUUUUUGAAACUUAACAGGUUAAAAUUUUUUGUCAGUGAAUAAUAUCUUAUUGGGUUUGUUGAACAGUGUCAGUUGGUUCAUUUACCUCCUGAAGACCAUCUCAGCUGCUCCUUCCAGUCUGGACAAUUAUGAAUAAAGCUGCCCACAUUCUUGGGCACAUUUUACGAUGAACAUAAUUUUUAAAUUCAGCUGGGUAAAUACGUAGAAUUUUGAUCACUUGCUGGUAAGACUAUAUUUUCCAUUUUAAGAGUUAGGUAGAAUUCAACCGUAAAAUUGAACGGGCAUGUUUUCUUAAAGUUACUACUUAGUGAUUUAAUUCUAUAAUAGAUAGAAGCCUACCCAGACUAUCUGUCUCUCCUUUGGAUGGUUAUGGUAGUUGCUUCCUUUGAAGGCAUUUGUCCAUUUCAUCUAAGCUAGAAAAUCAGUGGGCAUAGACACUUGAAACUCGCAAGUUGCCUGCUUGGUUCUCUUCAAAGGGUACUGCCCUUACUGUCAAUCCUUCUCUAGAAGUUUUUAAUAAAGUUUCACUCCUACACUAAAACAAAUUGCAGGCAUAGAUUUGUUCAACUUAUUCUGUUCUUAUUUUCUUAAUGUUCAUGGGA